AUGUGGGGACUAGUUUUGAAUCUCUAUCUCUUUAUCAUAUCACUCCGUUAUUUUUACAUGAGUGAGUUGUGAAAGUGAGAAGGUACCUAACCACGAUGAAGAGAAAACUGAUGUUCCUGAAGAGCUGAUGUUCUCUUUGAGCGAAGCGGGCAGUGAGUGAUGAUGCAUUUCAUCCGCUCCUUGCCAUUGAUGACCGUUCCAUGCUCUCUAGUGGAGCCUGGAGGUGGGUAUCAUGAUCAGAGUGGU
The sequence is a small nucleolar RNA, 246 nucleotides long. Its record names the gene U3. It matches the Rfam family "Small nucleolar RNA U3". Rfam says of the family: Small nucleolar RNAs (snoRNAs) are involved in the processing and modification of rRNA in the nucleolus. There are two main classes of snoRNAs: the box C/D class, and the box H/ACA class. The record is from Ensembl.